This 254-nucleotide ribosomal RNA is filed under the name uncultured bacterium. RNAcentral describes it as "partial 16S ribosomal RNA". It matches the Rfam family "Bacterial small subunit ribosomal RNA", at positions 524 to 777 of the family's 1533-position model. The record is from RNAcentral.
UACGAAGGGGGCUAGCGUUGUUCGGAUUUACUGGGCGUAAAGCGCACGUAGGCGGAUCUUUAAGUCAGGGGUGAAAUCCUGGAGCUCAACUCCAGAACUGCCCUUGAUACUGAGGAUCUUGAGUUCGGGAGAGGUGAGUGGAACUGCGAGUGUAGAGGUGAAAUUCGUAGAUAUUCGCAAGAACACCAGUGGCGAAGGCGGCUCACUGGCCCGAUACUGACGCUGAGGCACGAAAGCGUGGGGAGCAAACAGGG